This 354-nucleotide ribosomal RNA is filed under the name uncultured bacterium. RNAcentral's name for it is "bacterial SSU rRNA". It matches the Rfam family "Bacterial small subunit ribosomal RNA", at positions 8 to 353 of the family's 1533-position model. The record is from RNAcentral.
AGAGUUUGAUCCUGGCUCAGGAUNAACGCUAGCUACAGGCUUAACACAUGCAAGUCGAGGGGCAUCAGUUUGGUUUGCUUGCAACCAAAGCUGGCGACCGGCGCACGGGUGAGUAACACGUAUCCAACCUGCCUCAUACUCGGGGAUAGCCUUUCGAAAGAAAGAUUAAUAUCCGAUAGCAUAUAUUUCCCGCAUGGGUUUUAUAUUAAAGAAAUUCGGUAUGAGAUGGGGAUGCGUUCCAUUAGUUUGUUGGCGGGGUAACGGCCCACCAAGACUACGAUGGAUAGGGGUUCUGAGAGGAAGGUCCCCCACAUUGGAACUGAGACACGGUCCAAACUCCUACGGGAGGCAGCA